UUGGAGGUAAACAUCUUCUAAAGCUAAAUAUGAAUGGGAAUCCGAUAGCGAACAAGUACUGCGAAGGAAAGAUGAGAAGAACUUUGAAAAGAGAGUUACAAGACUUGAAAUCGUUGAGAAGGAAGCGGUAGAGAUCCAUUAUUUGACGAUUCUAAAAUACAGUUGUUUGAUUGAAACUUCAGGUAAUCUUGGAGCGAAUAAUCAGGGAAUUGUAAUGUAUGGAGUAAUCAAAACAUAGGAUGAAAUCACGGCUCAUUAAUCGCUUGCGAAAUGGGCGUUGGUUUGAGGGGUCUUCGGACGAUCCUGUGACAAUGGUCUUUACCGUCCCGUCUUGAAACACGGACCAAGGAGUCUAGCAUAUAUGCGAGUGUGCUGGUUUGAAACCGAUACGCGAAAUUAACGUAAAAUGUGCUAGCGAAAGCGCAGCAUAGGCCGACAUCGGGCUAUAGCCCGAGGAUUGAGCAAGAGCAUAUCUGUUAGGACCCGAAAGAUGGUGAACUAUGCCUGUGUAGGGAGAAGUCAGGGGAAACCCUGAUGGAGGCUCGUAGCGAUACUGACGUGCAAAUCGUUCGCCGAACAUGGGUAUAGGGGCGAAAGACUAAUCGAACUAUCUAGUAGCUGGUUCCUUCCGAAGUUUCCCUCAGGAUAGCUGGAACUUUAUUGCAGUUGCACUUGGUAAAGCGAAUGAUUAGAGGCCUCAGGGAGUUUUUAUCCUUGACCUAUUCUCAAACUUUAAAUGGGUGCGAUCUAGCUGUUUUCUUAAUUGAACAGUUAGGUACAAUGCAGGUUCUUAGUGGGCCGUUUUUGGUAAGCAGAACUGGCGAUGAGGGAUGAACCUAACGUUGAGUUAAGGUGCCAAACUAUACGCUCAUCAGAAACCACAAAAGGUGUUGAUUUAUUUAGACAGCAGGGCGGUGGCCAUAGAAGUCGGCAUCCGCUAAGGAGUGUGUUACAACUCACCUGCCGAAUGAAUCAGCCCUGACAAUUGAUGGCGCUUCAGCGUAUGACCGAUACUCAACCCAUGGCCUAAAAAUAUAAGCUAUGGUGUAGGAAGGCGUGGUUGUUGUGUUGAAGUUUUCACGUGAGUGAGAAUCGAACAGCAGCUAGUGCAGAUCUUGGUGGUAGUAGCAAUUAUUCAAAUGAGAUCUUUGAAGGCCGACGAGGAGAAGGUUUCCAUGAGAACAGCACUUGGUCAUGGGUGACUCGAUCCUAAGGCAUUGGGGAAUUCCUUGACAAUGGCGGGCAACUGCCGUAGCCAAAAGGGAAUGAGGUUAAUAUUCCUCAAGCAUUGAGUGGGUUCAGUAUGGCAACAUAAAUUUGCUCAAAGACACCAGUGUGAGCCCCUGGAAGAGUUUUCUUUUCUUUUUAACAGUCGAGCAGCCUUGAAAUUGGAUUAACCAGAGCUAAGGCAGCUUUACUGGAAGAGCCCUUUAGUUAUUGAAGGGUCAUGGUGCGUCCACAAUGGUCCAUGAAAAUUUGAGCAAUGAAUAACUUCACUCAAGAUCGUACCGGAAUCCGCAUCAGGUCUCCAAGGUGAGUAGCCUCUGGCCGAAUGGAAUAAUGUAGAUAAGGGAAAUCGGAAAAAUGGAUCCGUAACUUCGGGAGAAGGAUUGGCUCUGAGGAUUGAGUGCAACAGACCAUUCAGAAACAGGAGUAUCUGGUAAGGUUGUGAGGCAACGAGUGACUGAACUAGACGGCUCCUGCGGAAGGUGUCACCUGGUGCAUAACUAACAAUCAACUCAGAACUGGAGCGGACAAAGGGAAUCCGACUGUUUAAUUAAAACACAGCAUUGUGAUGGCCGGAAACAGUGUUGACACAAUGUGAUUUCUGCCCAGUGCUAUGAAUGUCAAAGUGAAGAAAUUCAACCAAGCUCUGGUAAACGGCGGGAGUAACUAUGACUCUCUUAAGGUAGCCAAAUGCCUUGUCAUCUAAUUAGUGACGCGCAUGAAUGGAUUAACGAGAUUCCCACUGUCCCUAUCUACUAUCUAGCGAACCCACAGCUAAGGGAACGGGCUUAGCGCAAUCAGCGGGGAAAGAAGACCCUAUUGAGUUUGACUCUAGUCCGACUUUGUGAAAUAACCUAGGGGAUGUAGCAUAGGUGGGAGGGCAACCAAUCUGAAAUACCACUGCCUCUAGCGCUAUUUUACUUAAUCUCUCAUUUAGGUACCUCAUUGAGGUUCUUGCACCAAAAUCAUUUAUUGAUUGAACUAGGGGGAUGACAAAGUCAGGUGGGGAGUUUGGCUGGGGCGGCACAUCCAUUAAACGGUAACGUGGGUGCCCUAGGUUGAGCUCAAAGAGAACAGAAAUCUCUUGUAGACCGAAAAGGGAAAAGCUCAAUUGAACUUGAUUUUCAGUACUAAUACAGUAUGUGAAAGCACGGCCUAUCGAUCCUUUGAUUUAGAAUGUUUCUUGCCAGAGGUGUCAGAAAAAUUACCAUAGGGAUAACUGGCUUGUGGCAGCCAAGCGUUCAUAGCGACGUUGCCGUUUGAUCCUUCGAUGUCGGCUCUUCCUAUCAUCAAGAAGCAGAAUUCUUGAAGUGUUGGAUUGUUCACCCGUCAAUAGGGAACGUGAGCUGGGUUUAGACCGUCGUGAGACAGGUUAGUUUUACCCUACUGAUGAAUCGAUGUUGCUUCAGUAAUUCAACUUAGUACGAGAGGAACAGUUGGGUCAGAUUAUUGGUUUAUGCAGUUGGUUGAACAGCCAGCGCUGCGAAGCUACCAUCUGUUGAGAUUAUGACUGAACGCCUCUAAGUCAGAAUCCAUUCUGCUAUGCAACGUUUCAUUCAAUAAUAGACGAAAAAGAUUAGAAUCUUAAUUCCCACAUGAGCAGUCCGCUCUGAUCAUGUAACUUGGUUAGAGUGAUGCUUGAAUAACAAUUUCGAUUAUUAUUGAACCUAAUCGUUUGUAGACGACUUAAUUUGGACGGGGUAUUGUCAGCAUUAGAGUAAGAUUCCUUACGAUAUGUUGAGAUUCUUCCCCUUUCCAACGAUUAGUCCCUUCAUCCCCU
This 3007-nucleotide ribosomal RNA is filed under the name Chloroflexota bacterium. Its description in RNAcentral is "eukaryotic LSU rRNA". It matches the Rfam family "Eukaryotic large subunit ribosomal RNA". The record is from RNAcentral. Lineage: Bacteria; Bacillati; Chloroflexota.